This 469-nucleotide ribosomal RNA is filed under the name uncultured bacterium. RNAcentral's name for it is "bacterial SSU rRNA". It matches the Rfam family "Bacterial small subunit ribosomal RNA", at positions 28 to 491 of the family's 1533-position model. The record is from RNAcentral.
GAUGAACGCUAGCGGCAGGCUUAACACAUGCAAGUCGAGGGGCAGCACGGGUAGCAAUACCUGGUGGCGACCGGCGCAAGGGUGCGUAACGCGUGAGCAACAUGCCCUAUACAGGGGGAUAAUCCAGGGAAACUUGGUCUAAUAUCCCAUAGUAUUUAGAGGAGGCAUCUUCUAUAAAUUAAAGCUUCGGUGGUAUAGGAUUGGCUCGCGUGACAUUAGCUAGAUGGUGAGGUAACGGCUCACCAUGGCAAUGAUGUCUAGGGGUUCUGAGAGGAAGGCCCCCCACACUGGGACUGAGACACGGCCCAGACUCCUACGGGAGGCAGCAGUGAGGAAUAUUGGACAAUGGAUGGAAAUCUGAUCCAGCCAUGCCGCGUGCAGGAAGACAGCCCUAUGGGUUGUAAACUGCUUUUAUAUGGGAGCAAUAAGGUCUACGUGUAGACUGAUGGAGAGUACCAUAUGAAUAAGC